AGUGAACGCUGGCGGUAGGCCUAACACAUGCAAGUCGAACGGCAGCACAGUAAGAGCUUGCUCUUACGGGUGGCGAGUGGCGGACGGGUGAGGAAUAUAUCGGAAUCUACUUUUUCGUGGGGGAUAACGUAGGGAAACUUACGCUAAUACCGCAUACGACCUACGGGUGAAAGCAGGGGAUCUUCGGACCUUGCGCGAUUGAAUGAGCCGCUGUCGGAUUAGCUAGUUGGCGGGGUAAAGGCCCACCAAGGCGACGAUCCGUAGCUGGUCUGAGAGGAUGGUCAGCCACACUGGAACUGAGACACGGUCCAGACUCCUACGGGAGGCAGCAGUGGGGAAUAUUGGACAAUGGGCGCAAGCCUGAUCCAGCCAUACCGCGUGGGUGAAGAAGGCCUUCGGGUUGUAAAGCCCUUUUGUUGGGAAAGAAAAGCAGCAGGUUAAUACCCCGCUGUUCUGACGGUACCCAAAGAAUAAGCACCGGCUAACUUCGUG
Molecule: ribosomal RNA, 492 nt
Filed under: uncultured bacterium
Lineage: Bacteria
Description: partial 16S ribosomal RNA
Rfam family: Bacterial small subunit ribosomal RNA
Source: RNAcentral